GGCCCGAGCGAGGGCUCGGAGAGCUCAGGGCGGCGACGACCACGGCGUUGAUAUCGGUGGUAACAACGGCCUCAGCAGGCGGGGAAGAUGAAAGGUAGCCGGAUCGAGCUGGGAGAUGUGACACCACACAAUAUUAAACAGCGGAAGAGAUUAAACCAGGUCAUCUUUCCAGUCAGCUACAAUGACAAGUUCUACAAGGAUGUGCUGGAGGUUGGCGAACUAGCAAAGCUUGCCUAUUUCAAUGAUAUCGCAGUGGGUGCGUGUGCUGUAGGGUGGAUCAUUCACAGAAUCAGAAGAGACUUUACAUCAUGACACUAGGAUGUCUGGCACCAUACCGAAGGCUAGGAAUUGGAACUAAAAUGUUAAAUCACGUCUUAAACAUCUGUGAGAAAGAUGGCACUUUUGACAACAUCUAUCUGCAUGUCCAGAUCAGCAAUGAGUGUGCAAUUGACUUCUACAGAAAGUUUGGCUUUGAGAUUAUUGAGACAAAGAAGAACUACUAUAAGAGGGUAGAGCCCGCAGAUGCUCAUGUGCUGCAGAAAAACCUCAAAGUCCCUUCUGGCCAGAACGCAGAUGUGCAAAAGACAGACAACUGAACAAAUUACAGAUGAACCUUCUUGCACUUGCUUGUCGCCAAAUAAGAGAGAGGCCCAUUGAUUCCCCGCCGCCUUCCUUUAAAACUUUCCCCUUCCUUGUUCUUACUUCUCCUCCUUUCAAAACUUGCUUCCCUUUCCUCUAAAAGUGUUAAACUUUUAAGGACGUAUUAAUCAUGUUUGGAUUGUUGUAGUUUUCUUAUUUUUGUGAGGUGGUUUGAUUGUAGGAAGGAGAAGGUAUAGAUCGGUUUAGUUUCACAGUUAAGGUAUAUAUGGUCCCAAAAAUCUGAGUGUCAAUUUCCAUUUUUUUUUAAUGUCCUGCUUUCACAUUGAAAGGCAGAGCCUACAAAAUAUUGUAUUAUUUCAAAGGACAAAAAGAAGCAGCAGCAAUAUCUUGUUCUCUAACUCUUAGACAAGUUUAGUGUGUUUGUGGUCCUUUGGGUUUUUAAAAGAUUUUGUGGGAUACUAAUCCCUGUACAUUGCCUUCAAUCCACCUUUUGUUCUUCUGAGUAUUAUCUCAGGAGUUGGGCCAUUGUUAUCCUUGUAAGAAAUACUAAGCUUAUUUUGUUCUGUUAAGCAAUUAUUUCUUCCUUCUUUGCUGGUGGCUGAAGGUGGGUGGGACAGUUUGAAUUGGUAGUAUUAGACUUUGGUCUCAGUAUGUGAGUUAAACUGCUUUUUGCUAAUGAGUGGGCUGUUGGUUAGCAGGUUUGUUUUUCCUGCUGUUGAUUGUUACUAGUGGCAUUAUCUUUUAGCAUAUGGGCUGGUGAGAUUAAUUUUUUUCUUUAAUAUCCCAGCUAGAGAUACAGCCUUUAACUGACCUAAAGAGGUUUGUUGUGAUCUGCUUUUUUUCUCCUGUUGUUUUUCUUCAGUAAACCCACAGUAGUUGGUCAGACCUUAAAUAUGGAGUUGAUGUCCUUUAUAGGUCAGUGCCCUUAAAUAAACCUGAAGUAGGUAUUGUCUCCUGGACAUACAAAAAAAUACCUAAACAGAAGCUUAGAAGGAUUUGUGGCACAAUAAAUGCAUUUAAUGUCAGCUAACGCAGACUGUUAGAAGUGUGGCCACUGAGCAUUUGAUUUUAGAGGAAAGAAUAUCUAGACAGUAUUUUUGAGAAUAACAUAGCUGUGCUAUUGCAUAUCUGUUGGAGAACAUCCCAGAUUUGCUUACAUUCUGUGCCUGUGAUACUGAGUUUAAGGAUUUGGGGGAGGGGGAAUUAUUAAACACAUUGCUUCUGUUCUUGGGAAAAGUAGAAGUCUAGAAGUGUUAAUAACGCGAAUGUCACUGUGACCUCCUGUACUGACAGGACUGGUUUAUGCCAGAUCAUUUUCUGGCACUUAGGGAGUGGCUUUGACAGGUCAGUAACUUUCUGUAAGAUAGAAGACCUCUAAAUUUUCAGGCUUUCCUCCAUAAUCCCAUCUCCAAUAUUCAAAAUUUUCUACAUUGCCAAUACCAGUGGCUUAAGAAAUGUUUUCAUUAGACUUAAAACGUUGCACAGAGCUUGAAUUUUCUGUCAUUUGACUUUAAAAAGAAGGCUGAUUCAUAACAUUUAUCUUCUUGUGUAAAUUCUGGCAUAAAAGUUUCAUCUCUUUAAAUACAUUGAAUGACAAAAUUAUUUUACACAAUGUUUAUGCACAUCUUAUAAUCUUAAGUUCUUAUUUGAGAAUGUGAAAAUGCAAGGUACAAUAGACUUCAACAGUCUUAGUUGAGUGCCAAGAAUAAUACAGAAAAAGAAGAUAGUUGAUGAGUGAGUUCAUAGAGUUCUAAUCUUAAGAUAGUAAAAAUGUAGAAAGACCUUGCUGGUUUCUUGGUUAUCAGUUUCUUAAGCAGUCCAAAUCUAAGCUUAGAAGAAAAGUUUAGCAUUGAGCACCUUUACCUUCAUGGAUAAGCUUCAGCUUGCUCUUGCCAAGAGAAGAGUGCUUGAGUUACAGAAGGCAAGAUUAGUUUGAAGAAUUCAGUCUUUUUGUAAACUUCAGAU
Molecule: non-coding RNA, 2565 nt
Organism: Odocoileus virginianus texanus
Lineage: Eukaryota; Metazoa; Chordata; Mammalia; Artiodactyla; Cervidae
Source: RefSeq, a predicted model, not a curated record